AGAGUUUGAUCAUGGCUCAGAUUGAACGCUGGCGGCAGGCCUAACACAUGCAAGUCGAACGGUAACAGAAAGCAGCUUGCUGCUUUGCUGACGAGUGGCGGACGGGUGAGUAAUGUCUGGGAAACUGCCUGAUGGAGGGGGAUAACUACUGGAAACGGUAGCUAAUACCGCAUAACGUCGCAAGACCAAAGAGGGGGACCUUCGGGCCUCUUGCCAUCGGAUGUGCCCAGAUGGGAUUAGCUUGUUGGUGGGGUAACGGCUCACCAAGGCGACGAUCCCUAGCUGGUCUGAGAGGAUGACCAGCCACACUGGAACUGAGACACGGUCCAGACUCCUACGGGAGGCAGCAGUGGGGAAUAUUGCACAAUGGGCGCAAGCCUGAUGCAGCCAUGCCGCGUGUAUGAAGAAGGCCUUCGGGUUGUAAAGUACUUUCAGCGGGGAGGAAGGGAGUAAAGUUAAUACCUUUGCUCAUUGACGUUACCCGCAGAAGAAGCACCGGCUAACUCCGUGCCAGCAGCCGCGGUAAUACGGAGGGUGCAAGCGUUAAUCGGAAUUACUGGGCGUAAAGCGCACGCAGGCGGUUUGUUAAGUCAGAUGUGAAAUCCCCGGGCUCAACCUGGGAACUGCAUCUGAUACUGGCAAGCUUGAGUCUCGUAGAGGGGGGUAGAAUUCCAGGUGUAGCGGUGAAAUGCGUAGAGAUCUGGAGGAAUACCGGUGGCGAAGGCGGCCCCCUGGACGAAGACUGACGCUCAGGUGCGAAAGCGUGGGGAGCAAACAGGAUUAGAUACCCUGGUAGUCCACGCCGUAAACGAUGUCGACUUGGAGGUUGUGCCCUUGAGGCGUGGCUUCCGGAGCUAACGCGUUAAGUCGACCGCCUGGGGAGUACGGCCGCAAGGUUAAAACUCAAAUGAAUUGACGGGGGCCCGCACAAGCGGUGGAGCAUGUGGUUUAAUUCGAUGCAACGCGAAGAACCUUACCUGGUCUUGACAUCCACGGAAGUUUUCAGAGAUGAGAAUGUGCCUUCGGGAACCGUGAGACAGGUGCUGCAUGGCUGUCGUCAGCUCGUGUUGUGAAAUGUUGGGUUAAGUCCCGCAACGAGCGCAACCCUUAUCCUUUGUUGCCAGCGGUCCGGCCGGGAACUCAAAGGAGACUGCCAGUGAUAAACUGGAGGAAGGUGGGGAUGAUGUCAAGUCAUCAUGGCCCUUACGACCAGGGCUACACACGUGCUACAAUGGCGCAUACAAAGAGAAGCGACCUCGCGAGAGCAAGCGGACCUCAUAAAGUGCGUCGUAGUCCGGAUUGGAGUCUGCAACUCGACUCCAUGAAGUCGGAAUCGCUAGUAAUCGUGGAUCAGAAUGCCACGGUGAAUACGUUCCCGGGCCUUGUACACACCGCCCGUCACACCAUGGGAGUGGGUUGCAAAAGAAGUAGGUAGCUUAACCUUCGGGAGGGCGCUUACCACUUUGUGAUUCAUGACUGGGGUGAAGUCGUAACAAGGUAACCGUAGGGGAACCUGCGGUUG
RNAcentral lists this ribosomal RNA (1522 nucleotides) under Escherichia coli. Its description in RNAcentral is "bacterial SSU rRNA". It matches the Rfam family "Bacterial small subunit ribosomal RNA". Lineage: Bacteria; Pseudomonadati; Pseudomonadota; Gammaproteobacteria; Enterobacterales; Enterobacteriaceae. The record is from RNAcentral.